GAUGAACGCUGGCGGCGUGCUUAACACAUGCAAGUCGAACGAUGAAGCCCAGCUUGCUGGGUGUAUUAGUGGCGAACGGGUGAGUAACACGUGAGUAACCUGCCCUUAACUCUGGGAUAAGCCUGGGAAACUGGGUCUAAUACCGGAUAGGAGCGUCCACCGCAUGGUGGGUGUUGGAAAGAUUUAUCGGUUUUGGAUGGACUCGCGGCCUAUCAGCUUUUUGGUGAGGUAAUGGCUCACCAAGGCGACGACGGGUAGCCGUCCUGAGAGGGUGACCGGCGACACUGGGACUGAGACACGGCCCAGACUCCUACGGGAGGCAGCAGUGGGGAAUAUUGCACAAUGGGCGCAAGCCUGAUGCAGCGACGCAGCGUGAGGGAUGACGGCCUUCGGGUUGUAAACCUCUUUCAGUAGGGAAGAAGCGAAAGUGACGGUACCUGCAGAAGAAGCACCGGCUAACUACGUG
This 466-nucleotide ribosomal RNA is filed under the name uncultured bacterium. Its description in RNAcentral is "partial 16S ribosomal RNA". It matches the Rfam family "Bacterial small subunit ribosomal RNA", at positions 28 to 507 of the family's 1533-position model. The record is from RNAcentral.